Molecule: long non-coding RNA, 3296 nt
Organism: Triplophysa dalaica
Lineage: Eukaryota; Metazoa; Chordata; Actinopteri; Cypriniformes; Nemacheilidae
Exons: 2
Source: RefSeq, a predicted model, not a curated record
UAAGGCCCCAGUGAAAUCGUUCUUUCCUUUUUUCAAAAUUAAGUUAGCAUUAAGGACAUCAAUAAACUGAUCCUCCUAUGCAGAGACAAAAUUCCCAUUUCGAAGAUGUACAGUAUGUGUUCAAAACUGAUAGUCUGGCACAUGCGCUCAAAAAAAAUCUAGAAUUUCCAUGACAUCAUGCUACACUUCAGCCUCUUUUCACAGUUCUUGUCCAAUCAAAUCAGCUUUAGAAUCCGAAGAGUCCCGCCCCUUCACUAUGAAAGCUGCGCUAGCGGCGCCUCAUAUCAGCCACUUCUUCGCUCAUUUAUUAUGUCCUACAUGGUGAUGGACGCAUAGUGCACUAGAUGGGAGAUAGGGAAUGAUCAAGAUAAUGUCUACACAUUAACAUUCAAGUCUUAAUUUCACAUAGUGUCACAUGAGCAGUUGCACGUGAUUGUCCUCCGGUUCAGAGACAUGAUAGCCCCGAGCUGAUCACAUUCGUUGAUCAUACAUGCAAAUCCGAUAAGAAAUCUAAAUGAUUUUGACCCACUUCAACUCUACACAGUAUGUUGUAUGUUAAGGCUCUAUGAAAGAGAUCGGACAUCAUAGCCUCGGUGAGUGAAGGAGAAGACAAAUGCCAGCAUCGCUCACCAAUGUAAAUAACAGGGUUCAAAUGACACAUUAUCAAUGAUCUUCCUAUUCUAUUCUAUAGACCUUUACACCGUUGUGGCUCACACUGUUAAAUGCUGCUUUGCCCUAAAUGAAACAGUAUUGGUUAUUUUAAAAGGGGGCGGGGCUACUCAAUAUGUAUCGCACUCUCUGUUUUUCAGUUGAGAUCAUGUCCACACAUCAAAUAAUGCUGCGCCUUCAAAGGCAUUUCACUGGGACUUUAAAGGGUUCAAUGUCUGAAUGUUCAUGAAGUUAUCAAUGAACUGGGCUUAAAUGGCUCAUAUAAUUUUAUUGUGUGUGUAUUAUUAUGGGCUAAACACAAAUUUUAAGAUGAGAGAGACAAACGUUGUAGAUAUUGCGAUGAAAACCUAUGGUGCAGUGCAAUUGGUUGAAACACUUGAUGAGCAAGGCUCAUCCUUUAGGGAAGUAUCAAGAUGCAUCACACUCAUAUUCUAUUUAAAGACUGUGACAAUUAAACUAAAACCUCUACAAUUUAUACUGUACAUCACCCCCCUCUCACACACACACAUUUCACAAAAGAAAACAGCCCCUGAGGUCUUGAGCUGACAGCUCUUCGAAUGAUAAUCAUAAAAAGAGAUGCUAAAAAACAGUUGGCCACCGUAUGGCAGCUCUAACUAUACCCCAUAAUACUCUCCAAGAUUUGAGGUCCUUCCACAGAAAUAACAGCCUGCUCAGCUAGUUACGUUCACUUUCUAUCAUGCAUCACGGAUGAUGAACGACUUAACAAAUAAUUCCUUAAUGCAAUGGAUGAGAGCCCUCCAGAUCCUGCCAUCAUAAAGAAGAAUGUGAAGUAAAAGACAUGAGAUGCAACCUGGCAGCGCACUUGCUGAAGAAUAGUCCCUCUCGCUCUCACACAUACUCUCUCGCUCUCACACAUACUCUCUCGCUGUCUCUCUGACAGUGUCAUAACUCUCAGCAGCUUGUAAAAACAUCUGAAAUCUCUCCGGUGCUGUUUAAACCCCUCACGAGAAGACUUACAGACUCAAAAGACCCCCUGCCAGCAGAAAAAUUGUGAGAGAGUUAGAUGUACCAACAUGAGGUUUUGACAGGGGUGGAACAAUACGUUCGAACAGGUUACUCUACCAACUCCACAGCAUACAGUAACAAACUCCCAAAACGUCAUCAUACAGAAAUAUAUCAACAUUUUCAUGACGAAAGGACAUAUACACACUAAACAGUUAUGUUUAUAUAUACAGUUCAACAUUCAUAAAAGAGUAAAGAAUGAUACAAACAUCAAUACAAGUCAAUAUUAAAGAAGUGUUUCAAUGGGGGCAUUCCCUGUGUUGAGGGAACUUAUGACCUACAAGUCUUGCCAAGAACACACAAUUAUGACGCGACCACUACGUAAGCUCAAUAACAAUAUAUAUAUAAUAUACUGAGAAGUGAUAACUGAAUGUAAAGGCAUGUGCAUACAUCCGUGCCUGUUAUUCUUUGACGAUAAUGUUACUGUGUUUCUGACUCUUGGCCUCGAGCGUUUUCUCUGCGGGUAGAAAUGCGCUGCUGCCAUUCACAAUGAACACGCGACUCGUUUGCGCAUUUUAACGCGUAUUUCUCCUCAGUUUUUACCUCAUUUUACGUUAUUCACGACUCAUAUAUUACCUUCUGAUGUUCAAGUAGAUGAAUAUCUGCAAUUCACUGACUAAACAUCGCAUGCGUGAUGUCAGCGUUUGAAGAUCAACAAAAUGAUCACAAUAGCAACCACUCGUGUCCAAAAUAAACAACGUUAUCUCUUACCAGUACACAAGCUUGUUAUGAAGAAUCGCGGGGGUCUUAUCCGACGCGCAGUUGAUGCACCACAUUGUUGCGGGAAACGGGUCCGGAUGCGCAAGCGCUAUUUCAUCCGUUCGUUAAUUUGGCUCGAGCGCUGACAGCGGUCCUCGCGGCGCGCGAGAGGAGCGGGAAUCGCUUUAAAUGGCAUGAUUUGCGAUUUCAUGUUCCGUCAUUAGCGAGGAGAUGAUGGGAAGCGUCGAGCCCCCCAAAAUCCCACCACUAAAACCUCUACCCUCCUCCUCCUCCCUCUCUCCAUCUCUCUCCUCAGACCUCGAUUCUUUAGACUCGUGCAGCAAGCGUGACACAGCAGUCAGAGCGCGAAAACACUUCUGCCAGGCGAGAUUGGCAAACCGCCUUCUGAUCGCGGCGCGUGAUCCACACCUCGGGCAUCAUCUGACAGGAUCUGUUCGGUGCCAUUAGAUCAAUCAGCACGUCAUGUGACCUGAUCUCGGUUCGUCGCGCGGUCCAAUGGAACCAUGUGGCGUCAAUCUGGUUGUCAGCGCGCAAUUAAAGGUCUGCGCAGAUCUGUUUUCAUUAAGCUACAGUACUUUCCUAGGCAAACAAGACCUCUCUUCGAUUGCUUUCUGUCCUGACAGUGUAAUUUCCUCGCAGAUCUUACAUUAACAUGCCAUGCUUUUGAUUAUUUUACUUUCCACGUUGUGAAAGUCGUCUUUUCUGAUGUUUUGAACAACUCAUGAUGAUGGCUAAGGCAACUUUCCCUUCAUUUUUCACAGGGACGCCAAACAGUGGAGUUUGUGUUCUCUUCUCCCUCUUUCUUUCCCUGGCCCCAGGACAGCUUUAUAUAAUUCAUUAUCUUCCACAUUAGCCACCAUUUUGAUGCCCAUGUUUGUCAUUUG